CAAUAGCGUAUAUUAAAGUUGUUGCAGUUAAAAAGCUCGUAGUUGGAUUUGUGGUGUACUUCGGCGGCCCGUCACUAUGUGAUGGAGCUUGCUGAAGUCGCCAUCCUUGGGUGGAUCCUGUGUGGCAUUAAGUUGUCGUGCAGGGGAUGCCCAUCGUUUACUGUGAAAAAAUUAGAGUGUUCAAAGCAGGCUUAUGCCGUUGAAUAUAUUAGCAUGGAAUAAUAAGAUAGGACCUUGGUACUAUUUUGUUGGUUUGCGCACCAAGGUAAUGAUUAAUAGGGACAGUUGGGGGUAUUCGUAUUUCAUUGUCAGAGGUGAAAUUCUUGGAUUUUUGAAAGACGAACUACUGCGAAAGCAUUUACCAAGGAUGUUUUCAUUAA
Molecule: ribosomal RNA, 380 nt
Filed under: uncultured eukaryote
Lineage: Eukaryota
Description: partial 18S ribosomal RNA
Rfam family: Eukaryotic small subunit ribosomal RNA
Source: RNAcentral